This 226-nucleotide long non-coding RNA is filed under the name Elaeis guineensis (African oil palm). Its description in RNAcentral is "long non-coding RNA (EGUI_LNC080796)". The record is from RNAcentral. Lineage: Eukaryota; Viridiplantae; Streptophyta; Magnoliopsida; Arecales; Arecaceae.
GGUGUUUCAGGUGCGGACAGUUGGGCCAUCAGAGGAAAGAUUGCCCUAACAAUACUCCAACUAGAGGUCUUCUACAGAAGCCAAAUACUUUACCAAGAAUUUAGAAUAGGGGUGACAAUUAUAUUAUUGAUAUACAAGCAGAUAAAGUGGAAACUAGUAUCAGUGGGCAGGAUGCUAUAUUAGGCAGGCCGAGGGAUGAAGCGAGAGUGUUUGCCAUGACCAGACA